UUUCCACGGGAGGCAGCAGUAGGGAAUAUUGCGCAAUGGACGCAAGUCUGACGCAGCGACGCCGCGUGGGUGAUGAAGGCCUUCGGGUCGUAAAGCCCUGUCGGAAGGGAAGAAAAAUAUCAUGGCUAACAUCCAUGGUACUUGACGGUACCUUCAAAGGAAGCACCGGCUAACUACGUGCCAGCAGCCGCGGUAAUACAUAGGGUGCUAGCGUUGUUCGGAAUCAUUGGGCGUAAAGCGCGUGUAGGUGGUUAGUUAAGUCGGGUGUGAAAUCCCUGGGCUCAACCGAGGAAGUGCAUCCGAAACUAGCUGGCUAGAAGAGGUAGAGGAAGGUGGAAUUCCUAGUGUAGAGGUGAAAUUCGUAGAUAUUAGGAGGAAUACCGGUGGCGAAGGCGGCCUUCUGGACCGUUCUUGACACUGAGACGCGAAAGCGUGGGGAGCAAACAGGAUUAGAUACCCUGGUAGUCCACGCCGUAAACGAUGGGUACUAGAUGUUGCAGGAAUUGACCCCUGCAGUGUCGACGCUAACGCAUUAAGUACCCCGCCUGGGAAGUACGGCCGCAAGGUUAAAACUCAA
RNAcentral lists this ribosomal RNA (577 nucleotides) under uncultured bacterium. RNAcentral's name for it is "bacterial SSU rRNA". It matches the Rfam family "Bacterial small subunit ribosomal RNA", at positions 335 to 904 of the family's 1533-position model. The record is from RNAcentral.